CAUGAAGAUAAUAGCUACCUGUCCUCAGAAGAGCCCAUUCCCUGCAUUUCUGUGUCAGUGAAGGCAAAGCUAUCUGUGUUUUGAAAUUGUUGCCAUCAUAUAAAUCUUGACUUCAAACUUUUCAAGGUUUGGAAGUAUACCCAUAGGGAAUUCAUAGAUUUCUUGCUGAUUGCUGACAUUAUUUCCCCAGAACAUCAGUGUAUCCAGAAAUAAAUCUGGGGAAGAGCAAAAUCUUUUAAUGAUACCUAUGGGUUGUUGACCUGAGUGACGGUAGUCUUUACACUAUGGGUCAACCUGCCAUCAGACACUCAAGAUACUGAAAAGAAUAAGAAUACUUGUGAGCUCUCCCUGAAGAUUACUGCAUUGUAUGAGAUCGCAUUUUUCAGAAUUAACCUGUAUCAACAUGUUUUCAUUUUUCCCUGUA
Molecule: long non-coding RNA, 424 nt
Organism: Sphaerodactylus townsendi
Lineage: Eukaryota; Metazoa; Chordata; Lepidosauria; Squamata; Sphaerodactylidae
Exons: 3
Source: RefSeq, a predicted model, not a curated record